Long non-coding RNA from Scophthalmus maximus (turbot), 1230 nucleotides. RefSeq lists it as uncharacterized. The record is from RefSeq and is a predicted model, not a curated record. NCBI's taxonomy places the organism in Eukaryota, Metazoa, Chordata, Actinopteri, Pleuronectiformes, Scophthalmidae. The transcript has 2 exons.
CUCACUCACUCACUCACUCACUCACUCACUCACCUCGCUCAUGGUGGAAACGUGCGCGGGGGUGAGAUGUGCAGCAGCAGAAGUGGACUUGUCUCUUCUCUGGUGUCCGGGUUGAUCCGCAGUGAGGAGCCGCACGGACCGGGAGAGAGGACCAGACUGAGCCGCAGUGAGGAGCCGCACGGACCGGGAGAGCGGACCAGACUGAGCCGCAGUGAGGAGCCGCACGGACCGGGAGAGAGGACCAGACUGAGCCGCUGACCGAGUGAAGCGAGGAGAAGAAGAAGAGAGGACGAGGAGAAGAAGAAGAAGAAGAAGAAGAAGAAGAGGGGAUCUACUUCCUGCCUCGUUCUUUACCUCCUCUCUUCUCUUCUACAGAGACAAAAACUAAAUUGUUUUCUUGACACAGUUGCUAAGUCGCAGUCUCUCGACACCAGCGUGUCACUUGAUUGUGUUCAGGUCGAAGUCCGACUCCCGCUCAGUGGUUUGUUCUUGUCCUCGCGUCUUCGUUGACCUUGAGUUGCCUUGGCAACCCGACCCACAUCCGGCACCAUUGUAAACACUGAAUUGUGAAGCGUGACCUCUUUUCACCGCUGAGCCUUUCACCUCUUUCACUGCGUCGUACACUGAGUACAUCACCUACUCUCUUUUCUCUUCUCUUCUUUUCACGCUGAGCCACAAGCGGCCGCCGUCUGUGUCGGGACAUCACGCUGCCAUGUAGCGUUUCUUUUACAUCUUAACUAUUCACAACAACCUAGAACCACUUGGAACAAAUAUACUGUACUUAAACUAUUUUUAAACUGUAUAUUCAGAUAAAAUCAAUGAGCUAUCGGAGCCUCGACGCUCGGGAAGCGGGAGUCUCUCGAUAACAUACAGUACGUGAACAGGCACUAACUGAAAGAGAAAAGAAAAAUGACAAACGUUUCUUUCUGUUUUUCUUAAGGACAAUCAUCUAGAAACACUUUUUCAGACAAACAAGGCAGUGAUAUACAGUCGAGAGAACAGUUACCUCAUGUCUUAAAUUAUUACCAAACAGCUUCACUGACGUUCACAGCUUGAAACUUGAAAGGAAAUCGCUCCUCCGUGUCCCGACGGGUUGAGGACGAAGUUGAAGCUGAAGGUUUUCAAACUGUUCCGUGAGUGAGGAGAGCGUCGACCUCGCCGCCGUCAGUGUAGUAGUCUGGGAUAUACAGUCCAUUACAAUUGUGAAAUAAAUGCAAUUCUGGAAUGAUG